Bolinopsis microptera is the source of this 681-nucleotide long non-coding RNA. RefSeq lists it as uncharacterized. The record is from RefSeq and is a predicted model, not a curated record. NCBI's taxonomy places the organism in Eukaryota, Metazoa, Ctenophora, Tentaculata, Lobata, Bolinopsidae. The transcript is spliced from 6 exons.
UGAUAUAACCACUAAUCAGUUGAAAACAAUGGAUCCUGUGGAGCAGCAAACUAUAUUUACACUUUAUGCUAUUCUGUGCUUCCUACCAAUAUUAUUUUCAGCAGGGUUGUUGCCCCCUCUAGAUUGCCUCUUCUGCUGGCUACCAGAAACAUGGCUUGUCAUAUUCAAUGGUACAUCUGCCAGCACUUCUCUUUUGGGAACAUUGGUGCAGUUGGUAGUAACAGUAACUCUGACAGCUGUGAUACAUAAUGUACCACACCACAAUUUGACAUGGCUUGUUGCUACAGUUUCUGCUCUGCUCAGUUGCAAUGUUCUUGCGUUACAGAGAGGGGUUUAUAAAAGUCUAAAGUUUUGGAUGAGCUUAGCGUUCAGUACCUUCAUCAGUUUGACAAUAUCUAUCACAUCUCCUUUAAUGGAUAUACAGACUGAAAAGUUAGAAUACAUUUGUCUGAUUGUUGUGGCAAUGUCCUCUCUACUCAUUAUGAUUCAAAAUGUAUACUGUUUCAACCUGAUCAGGAAUCCUUUGUUUUGUGCGAUUGAUGCAUCAAAAUCAAUAAAAUGGGGAUUCAAGCUGUUGAAUAUGACAAAGUUUUCAGUGUGUCCAGUUGUGUUAUCCCUUUAUUACAACCAUUUAUUUAAAAGCUGUCAUAGUUACACUUGGUUCCAAACCGUCCUUCUGGG